Molecule: non-coding RNA, 276 nt
Organism: Microcebus murinus (gray mouse lemur)
Lineage: Eukaryota; Metazoa; Chordata; Mammalia; Primates; Cheirogaleidae
Source: RefSeq, a predicted model, not a curated record
UGGGCCUCUCUUUCUCCCACCGUCACCUGAACAUGGGUCCUGAGGAUGUCUCUGCAGAAGGCAGGGAGGAUGAAGAACACUGGCCCGUCCCUGCCCGGUGCAGUCUCUCAGUCAGUUCUUUGACAGCCCAGAGACCGAGCCCACAGGGGCUCCCAGGAAUUGCUCGCUCAGUGGAAUAGAGGCAAGAAGGAAUGGAACAGCCCAGCCUCCAGUUGCAGUCACCCAGCAAAUCAACAGCCUCUGCGUGCCGGGCCCUGGACCAGCAACGGUGGAGGA